GCGCCCGUGGCUCAGUUGGAUAGAGCGCAAGCCUCCGGAGCUUGAGAUCCCGCGUUCGAAUCGCGGCGGGCGCGCCA
This 77-nucleotide transfer RNA is filed under the name Mailhella sp. RNAcentral describes it as "tRNA-Arg". It matches the Rfam family "tRNA". From Rfam's summary of the family: Transfer RNA (tRNA) molecules are approximately 80 nucleotides in length. Their secondary structure includes four short double-helical elements and three loops (D, anti-codon, and T loops). Further hydrogen bonds mediate the characteristic L-shaped molecular structure. tRNAs have two regions of fundamental functional importance: the anti-codon, which is responsible for specific mRNA codon recognition, and the 3' end, to which the tRNAs corresponding amino acid is attached (by aminoacyl-tRNA synthetases). tRNAs cope with the degeneracy of the genetic code in two manners: having more than one tRNA (with a specific anti-codon) for a particular amino acid; and 'wobble' base-pairing, i.e. permitting non-standard base-pairing at the 3rd anti-codon position. Lineage: Bacteria; Pseudomonadati; Thermodesulfobacteriota; Desulfovibrionia; Desulfovibrionales; Desulfovibrionaceae. The record is from RNAcentral.